Long non-coding RNA from Oryzias sinensis (Chinese medaka), 6141 nucleotides. NCBI's taxonomy places the organism in Eukaryota, Metazoa, Chordata, Actinopteri, Beloniformes, Adrianichthyidae. The record is from Ensembl.
CUCACUUCCUGAUUUGUUAGGAUGAUGGUUAUAUUCCAGGCCCAGGUAAAUCUUCUUGGUGUGUUUACAUAGACUUUAUGGGCUGUAAUCUGUUCUUUUUUUUUUUUUUUUUUUUACCCAAAUGAGGGAAUUAGGGGGAUUUGGACAAGCCUAACAAGUCUGGCUUCUAAAAUACAAGUAAACUAAAACAGCAGUUUCUCACCUAAACAUGUAAAGGAAGCUCCUCAUUCGUUCAGGUGACGUCUUGAAGUGAAAUCACGGCAUCUGGCCUGAAAGUAGGCUUUCUUUAAAACCUUACAUGCUGAGAGGUGAAUUUAAAACUUUCAUGAAAGAAACCUUUAAGUUCAGAUGCCAUGAUUUCACUUCAAGAUCUCUCAAAAACAUGAUCAUUGGAAAAGACAGUAUUAAAUGUAAACAAGCACUUCUAUAUGUGCAUAAAAGGGAAUCCUGUUUUUCAAUUUAGUUUGAAAUGCUUAAAAAGAAGGUGUGGCCAAAAGGCCAACUUGUUCUUAAUUGAAAUUGUUGUGAAUCUGCAGAAGAUUUAAAAAAAAAAGCAUUUGUGACGUCAGAAAUACGCGCGGGGCAGGCCACAGUCUGCCCGCUCAGCUCCAUUCCGAUUCAACCACUUGUAGACAAAUGGAUUGGCUUCUGGUUCAAAACUGUACGGCUGGACAGGUAAAAUAUCGCUCGCCAUUUUUGUUGCACCACUAAGGUUAAUUUUGGGAUGUGAGGGAAUGUCAGGUCGUGGGAGGACAUGUUUACAAAGGGAUGAUGGGAAAUUAAUUUAUAAUAUUUAAAUAAUCUUAUUUCUGUAUGCAUGUAUACCCGUUUAUUUUGCCCAGCAUCGAGUCUGUCGAUGAGGUAAAUUUGAACAGGAUUCAAGCAUACAUUUAUUUUAAAAUCCCAAAAGGAAGUAGUACAAUUCGCCACACAUCCGCAGGAUCAGGCGGUAUCGCCUUAAGUUCUGCUUUUCUUGUGAAAACGCGGGCGUCUUCGGAUCCACGGACGAACCAGAAUGUCUCUUCUCCUCGGGAGGAAGGAGAAAUGUCCAUCACAACAACAGCGGAACGUUUAAAUGAGAAGCUGAGUGCAAAACAGCUUUUGGAAGAAGAAGAAAACGACAGCAAAAAGUCGCCCUCUUGGUGGAGAAAACAUGUGGAAUAAGACACUGGCGGCCACAAAAGAAGCCAGCUGUGGGUUUGUUGUUGUCAUGAUGCUCCCUCUAGCGGCUGCUGCGAGACCUGCAGCCUGUCGAUGCUCUUCAGCAUCUCAGCUGCAGGAGGAGACAGCUGCAUCCUUUGCGACUGGAGCUGGAAAAUUUUAAUCAACUCCUGAAAAAAGACGAAUAAAGUAAAUAAUAAAGAAUAUUCAUUUAAAAAAAUAUGUAAACAAAGUCUUAUUGUCUUACCACUGGCAAUGUCAUAUCUGUUAAUGUGUUCCAAUGAGAUAGGACUGCUUCCUCGCUCAGUAGCCCUUUGUCGACCAGCCUUCUGACCAGGAAAAGGUAGUUUGUGGCCUAAAAAAUGUUAAAUGGUAAAAUAAAUACUUAAACUGAACUGAGCCGCAAAAGACUGCAACCAACUCUUUAGAAAUAAUAAAAAUAACACACUUGAAGGCUAACUUAUCAGCUCAGAGUCAAAUACUUUUCUUCUGUCCUCUAAAACAAAAUAUGUAGGUGCAAAAAUGCAAAGCAACCUAUUUAGGAAAUCAUUAAAUAUAUUAAUAGACACAAAUGGUUAAGACAAAGAUACCAACGAACUGAAUGUUUUUCUAAAUUCCUAUAUUAAAUAUGUGCUGCUCGUUUUGCAGCUCAACCUGCCCCAAUUCCCCCUGAUAAGCUAGAACAGAUUAUUUCAGGUAUUAGCUGGACACACCUGAUCCAGGUAGAACAGAUCAACAGCAGUGCAGGGACCAGAUGCUAACAGAGAGCUGCAUUUGAGCUCCUCGUCUACCUGUGAGUCGGCGGCCUGAAGAACAGCAGUGACGGUGAGAGGGGCGAAAAGCUGAUGAAGGGCGUCGGGACACAGGAAGUUCAUCUGCCACAGCUCAGCGAGCUGCUCCAGGAGGUCUGGAAGCAGAGCUUCUGACUCCGAGGCAUCACUUCCCGAGGACACGACGAGCACUGGAAGUUCUCCUGUUACUGAAAAAACAAAAAAUACACAGCAUGCACCACAUAGGAUAUCUUUGUGGGUAAUACUAACCCUGACUCAACUAUUUUAACAAACUAGCUGAAGUAAACACAGAUUUCACCGCUCGUCGCCACGACAACCGUCUUUUCCUACAGCAUUGUGCACAUCACUCUUUUCCAUCGGGUCUCUGAAUUAGAAUCCUGUGAAGUACAGCCAAACCUUCGCCCUCUUUGGCAUUUUUUUUAGAGAAGCUCCGACCCACCCUCAUGGACUCACCCAUUCUUAUAUCAGCCCGCCCACAAUCGCUGGAAAAGUAAAAUUGUAAAGCAAAACAAAAUAGGAUAGAGGUGAAUGACUUCUCCUAAAUGAAGUACGAAAAACUGCUUUUUUUAUACAGUGCCGGUAGUUCUGUAUACGUUGGUACCAAACAAAUAUAGAGUUUUGGUACCUAUUUCUAAUUAAUUCCAUGUUUUUUGACAGGAUCCCUUCUGAUACUUAAUGUACCUUUGCAUUUAAAUGAAUUCGUUUUCUUAGGUGUUCCCCAAUGUUCAAUUCUUUGCCCCCUUGUUUUCCACAUUUUUGCUUAUUAUACUUUGUUUUAAGGUGCAUUUAUUUAUUACUUUGCAGAUUGCAUCAGGUUUCCUUGAACCUAAACCAAAUUUAAAGAAACGUUUCCUUCAGAGUUCUUCAAGGGAAAUACUACAACAAACAUUACACAUCAAAAUUCAAAUGUUGCUCAUUUAAAAUGACCUAAACCUACCGACUGUCUUAAAACGGUGGUCAGGUCGGAACUUCUUACCCAGCUUGCAGGCGAGCAGGACUGUAGAGUUCAGAAGCAUCUGCUCCGACACUGCAGUCUGGAACUAAAGGAUCCAAACAGAGAAAAGGGGUUAGAAAAAAAAAAGGGGAAAAAAAAGGGGAUUUAUGGCGGUUUCGCCGUACCUUCCUGCAGGCCAGUGUGUCCCUUGCUCUGUGCAGCAGGGCUUUGACCUGAGAGCCAGCCGGCAGCUCCACAUCUGUUCUGGGCCCCACAGCGAUGCUCAGCAACUCCUGCAUGAAAGAAAAAUAGAUAUCUGCUGGAAUUUCGGAUUUGAAAUAUAUUUAAAAAAUAAUAAAAAUUGAACAAAGGAGAGCUGGUCCAAACUUGUACAGGUACCUUCACUUCUAUGAGGACAUCCGAAGGCAGAGGGGCACUGUGGUCACAGCCAGGAGGACAAGCCCUCGCCCGCUCGCCUCCCGCCUUCCUCUUAGGACCAACCCACUGAUCCCGAGAGACCAGAUCCACCUCAGCGCCGCUCACAUCCACAGAUUCUGAGGCUCCAGGACUGCAGAGAGCCUUCAUCACACGGUCGAACCUGCUCUUCCAUUCCCGCCGUAUGAGCGCUGCGCAAGGACAACAAAAGGAAGCGUUUUUAUAAAGUUAUGCCUUCUUUCCUUCACCCAUAAUAGAAAUGAAUAUAACCCUGGCAGCCCUUACAUUCCAGCUUUUUAGCAUAUAAACUGGUUUAAGUGUCUCUUUAGAAAGUCUGAUCUGAAAUGUCAUACAUUAAAAAAAAAGUAGUUCUAUUAAGAGAUUUUUAAAAAUCUUUUAGCAUGAAGUUAAUGAUAAAAACUAAGCACAUAAGCAUGAAUGCAGACUCCUUAAAGAACUGCAGAUCUUUGAGCAGUUACCUGUGAUGUUAGCGGAGAGCCAGCUGCAAGCUUUUUCUGCCGCCAGGCGCCUCGUGAUGCUUUCAGAUGUUUGGAGAACCUAAGAAAAGUGUUUGAAAUAAAAGUGCACAAAAAAAUGAAUGUCACGAAGACGACAUUUUCUAUUCGAAAUUCUUAUUAAUCGGUGAAAUUACAGUGGGGGAGGUCUCUUCGGGGAGCAGUGUUCGUACGGCUUCGAGGCUUUUCUCGUCACAAAAUCUGCAUGUGAGUCGGAGAUAAUUCAGAAAACAAAGAUUACACGAGACCUCAAUUGCCAACAAAGUCGUUCUUUUUUAUCUUCAUUGAAUACCACCAAGAAAUACAACAUUUAAAGACCCACUCCCAUGAUAAUGUUUUUUUUACUUGCUCUUGUGGCAUUUUUCUUAUAAGAAAAUUAAACUCAAAAUUGUAUUUUUGAGUAUUACUUUACUCAAACUGUUGUUAAUCAGGAGUAGACGACACAAUGUCGCUUGAGAAAGAAUGUACUUGUGACGUAGAAAAUGGGCUAGGCAGGCCACAAACUUCCUGCUCUGCUCCAUUCUGAUGCACCCGCUUUUAGACAGAUAGAUCCAUGAACGUCUUUGUUUUCCUCGUGUGACCCGACAUCCGGCUCUAAACUGUAUGACUGGAAAGCUCCAAUACUGCUCGCCAUUUUUGUUGCAUCGGUAAUGUUAGGUUAGGGAUGUGAAGGGCUGUAAGCUAGCAGGACUACAGGGAGCUCUAUGCCGCUCUGCAGAAACUAUGUCCUCGAAAACAACAGUUUUUUUAUUUAGGCUGAAACGGCAUAAUCAUAAAAUGUUCCAAAAGAUGAUUGGAGUUGCUCUUUAAAGGAGACACAAAUGUAAAAAUGGUGGAAUUAGGACAGAAAAAAGUCAUUUUGGUCUUAAAUUAAGACAAAUUGAAGGUUUGCUUGUAUUAUAACUUCAUUUUGUUUAAAACAAUGUUUAGUGAAAACUCAACGAAAAAAGCUCAAAUGUAAAGACAACAAAAGUUAAAAAAUAAACAGAAAACUAAAGCCUCAUAUCUACUGAGCGGUAUUAAAUGUUGGUUGAGAGAUGAUUGUGGAGGGCGAUGAGGAAAACAGCCAAUCAAUGGGUUUCAACAGUAGCUCCGCCCUAAAAGGUCCAUUGUUUUUAUUCUACGGACCUACAACCAUCAGGGCACUAAAAUGGUGCGGUUCGGUCCAACUUAAUGGGUCCAUGGAAAUGCUUAAAACAAUAUUGGUGAAAACGAAGCUUUAAAUGUCUAAUCUAAGGGAACCACAGCUAAUUUCUACAGAAAACAAUAAUCAGCACGCCUGCUUUUAAUUUUGGAAAAUACCGUUAAAUAACUUUAAAAGCUAAGAUAGUUUUUACAGAACUUCAGUGUUGAAUUUGUCUGUUUGAAUGUGCAGAUUUAACACACACACAAAAAAAAUAUAUUGUUGUAGUAACCGUGGUUUUUAGUAGAUUCUUUUAAAUGAAACAACGGAUGUUGAAUAAUGUUCUCAUGGGCCGCCUUUACACUGCAAGGUUCAAGUGACCCAAUUCCGAUUUUUUCCUGUCACGUGGCACAGAUCGGAUAUGAUCGGUGAAUGUGUAUGCAGGAAAAAAGCGCAUGGAUUCCGAUUUUUUCUCAGAUCGGAUACAGGCCUCUCUCAUAUGUGGAAAUAAAUCAGAUACAUGCAUUUGCGUGUGCCAUGUAAGCAGACAAAUCGGAUAUUCCUGACCGUCUACCUCGCCUUUGCUCCUGCUCCUACACCUGGCUGUGGUUCCUGUCUCCGGCUCAUCUCUGGCUCGUCUCUGCUCUGUACCUGACCGAGUACCUCGUCUCUGCUCCUGCUCCUGGCUGUGGUUCCUGUCUCCAGCUCGACUCGCGCCUUUGACUGUCCCCACAACCACGACUGGAUGACGCUCGUCUGCUGGACUUUAUAUAUGUAGUUGUAGAUUUAGAUAAGUUAAUUCUUCUCUAAGAGUUCUGGUACAUCGCCUGUCCGUCCUGGGGGAGGAUCCCUCCUUCAUGUGGGCACCCCUGAGGUUUCUUCGUUUUUUCCGGAAUCCGGUUUUUUUGGGAGUUUUUCCUUACCGCGAAGGGGGGUCUAAGGGCAGGGAUGCCAGUAUAGCUUAGUCAGUUUGUUAGUUCAUUUUUGAAUUUUCCUAUUGAACUCUUUGUAUUCAUGAUCCUUUUGAGUUCAUGUUUUACUUCGAAGCCCAUCGAGACGACUGUUGUUGUGAUUUUGGGCUAUACAAAUAAAAUUGAAUUGAAUUGAAUAUUCCCCAGUAAAUGCGAGUCGUACGUCAGUGACGGCAACUCAUGAUACCACCAACUGAGAUCACAUGACCUA